Xenopus tropicalis (tropical clawed frog) is the source of this 788-nucleotide long non-coding RNA. RefSeq lists it as uncharacterized. The transcript is spliced from 4 exons. Lineage: Eukaryota; Metazoa; Chordata; Amphibia; Anura; Pipidae. The record is from RefSeq and is a predicted model, not a curated record.
CUCAAUAUCCUCCCAUCUAACCCGCCAUAUUGUACUCACUGUCCUCCCCCACUAGUUCAGCUGAUUUAUAAAUAAAAUACACAUGGUUGUUGUUCUGCCGAUUAUCAAACAAAUGCUGUCUGCCUGCUCCUUCAGGUCUCAGGGAGCGAGUCAAUCCCAGAGGAAGUCACUGAAGAGAGAGAAGCCCAGACUCCUCCAGGAAUUUGAUGACCCUGCACUGAUCCCGGAUAAUUAGGCAAUGAUGCUAAAGCCUACAGUAUUGAAACUCUGAGCCGAGUGACAGUGGGGGAAUAUGUGUCCAGACAACAUGGAAGAGACAAGACCUGAGCAUCAAGCUACGUAGCCAAGAAGGUCUAUGCUGAAGAAGCCCAGUGUGUUCCUACAGUCUCCUCCCCUGCAGAACUCUCAAGCAACUGAUAGGGCAAUGUCUCUGCAUUCCGUUUGGGGGAGAGAAGGUACAGCCUGGUUUGACUUUCUUCAGGCAGCUCCAACAGAUGGACUAAACAGGGGGCCAUAAAAGCCCAGUGUGUUCCUACAGUCUCCUCCCCUGCAGAACUCCUUUGCAAGCUGACGAUGGCUCUGCAUUCCGUUUGGGCAGAAGAUGUACGAGGCUGAUAACCCAGCACUAUCCCAGAAGAGACCCCUAUUGCACCAUCCCACCGCAAGGAGGCAAAUUGUCAGCCCCCUGUAAUACCCCCGAGUAGCAUUUUCUAAAGAUAAUUAAAUGGCAGUUUGUACUGUUGUUUGAAAAUGUAACUUUUAUAAAUAAAUAAAUAAAUAAUUAUGGA